Molecule: RNase P RNA, 307 nt
Filed under: Polaribacter sp.
Lineage: Bacteria; Pseudomonadati; Bacteroidota; Flavobacteriia; Flavobacteriales; Flavobacteriaceae
Description: RNase P RNA component class A
Rfam family: Bacterial RNase P class A
About the family: Ribonuclease P (RNase P) is a ubiquitous endoribonuclease, found in archaea, bacteria and eukarya as well as chloroplasts and mitochondria. Its best characterised activity is the generation of mature 5'-ends of tRNAs by cleaving the 5'-leader elements of precursor-tRNAs. Cellular RNase Ps are ribonucleoproteins.
Source: RNAcentral
AAAGCAGACUUAUCUUAUCGCCUUGAAUUGAGUUCAAGGAGGAAAGUCCGGACACCAAAGAGUAAUCAUAGCGGAUAACAUCCGUCCAGUGUAAACUGAGGACAAGUGCAACAGAAAGCAAGUACAGUUCGGCUGUAGUGAAACCAGGUAAACUCUAUGAGGUGCAAUGCCAUGUAUAUUAGAGCUUGAGGGCUACUCGCUCGAUUCUAAAGGGUAGGCAGAUUGAUUCUAAGAGUAAUUUUAGAACUAGAUAAAUGAUAAGAACCUUUUUAAGGGACAAAAUUCGGCUUAUUAGUCUGCUUUUUUA